Molecule: non-coding RNA, 74 nt
Organism: Gymnothorax javanicus (giant moray)
Lineage: Eukaryota; Metazoa; Chordata; Actinopteri; Anguilliformes; Muraenidae
Source: the annotation of a GenBank genome assembly
GGGGAUGUAGCUCAGUGGGAGAGCGCAUGCUUCGCGCAUGUAUGAAGUCCUGGGUUCAAUCCCCAGCAUCUCCA